GAGCCAGGCGGCGGGGACUAGAAAGAUGGUGAACUAGACCUGAGCGGGGCGAAGCCAGAGGAAACUCUGGUGGAGGCUCGAAGCGAUACUGACGUGCAAAUCGUUCGUCUGACUUGGGUAUAGGGGCGAAAGACUAAUCGAACCAUCUAGUAGCUGGUUCCCUCCGAAGUUUCCCUCAGACUAGCUGGAGCCCAUUACGAGUUCUAUCAGGUAAAGCCAAUGAUUAGAGGCAUUGGGGACGCAACGUCCUCGACCUAUUCUCAAACUUUAAAUAGGUAGGAUGGCUCGGCUGCUUCGGUGAGCCG
Molecule: non-coding RNA, 305 nt
Organism: Hordeum vulgare subsp. vulgare (domesticated barley)
Lineage: Eukaryota; Viridiplantae; Streptophyta; Magnoliopsida; Poales; Poaceae
Source: Rfam